Dermacentor albipictus is the source of this 1353-nucleotide long non-coding RNA. RefSeq lists it as uncharacterized. The record is from RefSeq and is a predicted model, not a curated record. NCBI's taxonomy places the organism in Eukaryota, Metazoa, Arthropoda, Arachnida, Ixodida, Ixodidae.
CGUGCGAAACAUUCGAAACGUUCUAACAAGCAAUUCAGAUUUUGCCUGUUGGCGCUUUUUUUCCCGCAGUAACUAAGCCCCCGCCGAAGCAAACUAAUGUAACUACAAAGAAAAUGGCCCGCAGUAACUUCUUUCCCGGUCUUCAAUCUCUUGGCAAGAACGAAUGUGGACAGAAGCGGGCGCAGGCCGCAGACACCACCGUGUUGUUACACCACGCACGCUGACCCUCAUGUAGAGCGGAAAAGAGGGGUUCGAGCAUCGGGCGCCGCGGCCAACAUCUGCCGCGGACGGGUCGGGGAGGCAGGGCCAAGACCGAAAGACGCAAAAGCGCUGACGAUGCACGCUCCCCUUCGAGCGAGCCUCACUUUCACACUUUCUUCCUUCUCACCUAUUUUAUUUUCCUUUCGCGUUCUCUGCUUACUUGUUUUAUUGCGAUUUAUUUUCACACCUCUCCUGGCACGAUGACUGCGUCCCAUUCCAGUUUCUUUGUCGACAUCCACAACACAUCCUGUUCCCACGCAGGCAAGGCCAUGUAGGUUACGCGCUGCAACAACGCUAGCGCCAUCUCGUGAAGGAUGGUCGAACUGAGUAUGCUAUCCUUCCAGCCUCCGACAAAUGAACUUGAGCUCUCAGCGAACUUCGAAAACGAGAUUAGUGGACUCACUGCUGCGAAGACAAGUAUACCUUGGGCCAUCUCUUAUUAAUAAAGUUCGUUUGUCUUGUCCUCUCUUAGCUCAUUAGGCCGCACUUUUCCUUAGAACGAUUUGGUUCUAAUUUCAUUCCUCCUAAGGCUCCCAGUUUAAGGAAUCAAUUCAACGGCGCAGAAAAGCUGUGUCUUCCGGUGUCUGUGUUCUUUCUUUACCUUUGUUUUCUUUUCUUUUCUUUCAGUCUCUACGUAAGCCAAUCUAUUCCUAUAUCUUUUGCCCGUUUCUUCAUCGGCGUUGCCACACUGUUAUUAUGAGCUAAGCGCUUUCUUAUUGUGAUGCGUCUGGCAUAAAUUUCUUUGCACUGGUAUUGUAGAGAGAGAUAAGCUACGGGAUCAGCAAAAGCGUAGAGUUUUAUGAAAAUCAUUGCUAGAGAAGGUGCCGAGGUGAACCGUGUGGCUGGACCGGGAGGCGCGAAGAAAGUGCACGGCAGUAGUUGUCGAAAGACGGAAAUGGGGGAGGUGGUCGUACGCGAAAAAUACUCGAGCAGUUGAAAAAAUGACCGUUUAUUAACAGGUAAUCCCCAUAGUUCUUUUCUCUCUCUCCAAUCUCUCUUCUCGUUGCUGCUCUUUUCUUUUUUUUUCUUUUUUGGCACAUAAUGAAAGGAUUGAGGCGCCUGAGUUGUUUACUUAGGUAACUGUCCCGCCUU